Molecule: ribosomal RNA, 294 nt
Filed under: uncultured bacterium
Lineage: Bacteria
Description: partial 16S ribosomal RNA
Rfam family: Bacterial small subunit ribosomal RNA
Source: RNAcentral
GGAUUAGAUACCCUGGUAGUCCACACCGUAAACGAUGUCUACUAGCUGUGUGCGAAUGUAUAUUUGUGCGUAGCGCAGCCAACGCGAUAAGUAGACCGCCUGGGGAGUACGGCCGCAAGGUUAAAACUCAAAUGAAUUGACGGGGGCCCGCACAAGCGGUGGAGCAUGUGGUUUAAUUCGAUGCAACGCGAAGAACCUUACCUACACUUGACAUGCAGAGAACUUUCUAGAGAUAGAUUGGUGCCUUCGGGAACUCUGACACAGGUGCUGCAUGGCUGUCGUCAGCUCGUGCCG